UUCACAAACUUUCUCUGGAUAGAGCAAAAACAUGAAUUAUCUUUUAAAAUUAUUUUUAUUUUGCAUACACUAAUCCAAAGCAGCAGAUGAACGGCAAAGGCAGGCACUUCAGGCAAGAUGGAUGGAAAGGAAAACAUUUCUAAUGUUCACAUCGCAGUGAAAAAACAAAAUGGCGGGAAGAGAGUUUUAAACGUCCCGAUCCUUCAGAGGAGAAAUGAAGCGAUCCUACACAAGCAAACAAAUGUGUUGAUAUAGUAAUAUAGUUUAGAACAAAGUUUUAUCAAACAUUACAAAAACAAAAUUGAAAUAAAGGAGGAACUUCUUGAACUUAAAUGUUGAAAGAUCAACAUCCUCCCAGGAUAAACGGUCAAACUGGAGACCAAAAGAAAAGAAAUAAAAUAACCUCAGAGCAAAACAUGAAAAAGAUCAUCAUCAUCAUCAUCAUCAUCAUCACAGCCCAUCUGCCUUAUUUUUUAUUUUAUUCUCAUAGAUCUGAUACUCAGGAAUCGCUUCUCCAGUCAAGGUGAUUCAUUUUUUCCCGUUUUCUCCUAAAACUUUAUAGUUUAAAAUCUAUAUUUAUCUUUGGGAUUCAGGGAAAUCCUGUUUACUGGUUUCAUCUUUAAACCUGGCAGCUUUCUGCAGCUGUGAAAUACUUUUUACAAUAUUUUAAUCCUCAGCAGACGCUUCAGUCUGGGGGAUUUUCCUUAUUUUGAGGUCAAUCAGUUUCAUCAAGAUUGUUUUAUAUUCUGAAGCAGAUAAAACUGACUUCAUGUGCUAAUUCAGGAAUCCUCAGGAAUAAACCGACAAAUCGGCACAGAUUUUCUGAGUCUGCCGAUACAUGACAAAUCAAUUUGAUCCACCGACAUUUUACCUCAGCACAGGUCUGGAAAUCAGCCGCCGUCGCCUUUAGCUCUGCUGACACCAGGUCACGUCUGCAUGCCGCUGUUAACAGUCACCACACUGCUGCCAACUUAGCAACUAUGUUGAUAUAUUUAGAAAACAAAAUCGAUAUCAGCCAAAAUCGGAAUCUGCAACUCAGACUUUUCAAAAUCGUUCGUUUACUCCUGCUGAAUAUUAACUGGAGCGUCUGAAAAGUUACUCAUAAUGUAAGAGGCAUAAAUGCAUAAGGUAUGAAAUCAUGUGUCGUAUUUUCACUGCGUUUCCUUUCAGGAUCAGAGGAAACAUCCCAGACGGACGGAGAACCAACUUCAGAUCAGAUCCACAGCUGAUCAGUGACCCCUGAUCUGAAAAAAUACAAUUAAUGGAGCUUUUAUGUCUGAUCUGCUUUACUGUUGGCUCAUUUACAUCUGGGUCCAUAAUUUCUGCUGACUCAUCGUGUCUGAUCCACUCACUGACAGAAACAGUGAAACACCCAAAGAACCGGUUUCAUGCCAUCUGGUACCAGAACUGAGCUUUUGGAGUCUUUUAUUAACAGGUUUGGGAAUUCAUUCAGUGGAAUAAACUGACUAAAAACAAAUGGAAAACCUUUUUGCUCAUUAGCUGCUAAAUAAAAAGAUGUUUCGUCUCUGCAGUGGAUGGUAGAUGAAUAUUCCCUCUGAGCUCAUGGCUGAACUUUAUGGUUAGAAAUGAUAAACAUACAGGAAAGGUGAGGGAAUAACUGCAGCUGAUAUAAAUAAA
Molecule: long non-coding RNA, 1638 nt
Organism: Xiphophorus couchianus (Monterrey platyfish)
Lineage: Eukaryota; Metazoa; Chordata; Actinopteri; Cyprinodontiformes; Poeciliidae
Exons: 2
Source: RefSeq, a predicted model, not a curated record